RNAcentral lists this non-coding RNA (755 nucleotides) under Coleoptera sp. 1 KM-2017. Lineage: Eukaryota; Metazoa; Arthropoda; Insecta; Coleoptera. The record is from RNAcentral.
CAAAGGUUUUAUUUUAGCCUGGAGUUUUGGUAUAUUUUUUUUCCACAUGUUAGAUUUUUUAUUUAUAAAAUUCCUUUGCAGUGUUUAGUAUUGAGAAUCCAGUUAUUUGGGACCCAGGGAUUAAUUAGAGUUUUAAUAAAACUUGUGCCAGCAAUUGCGGUUAUACAGGUGAUGCGAUUAAAAUUUAUUGGUUUGUAAUUAAUUAUUUAAUAUAUUGGUUUAAUUUUAAGUUUGUUAGGUGAAAUUUUAAAUUUAUUUUUAAUUCAUAUUAUUGUUUUUGAAGUUGUUAAAAUCUGUUUAUAAACUAGGAUUAGAUACCCUAUUAUUAUGAUUGUAAAGUUUUAGACCUGACUAUUAAUAGCUUAUUUUCUUGAAAAUUAAUUAAUUUGGCGGUAUUUCAGUCCAUUCAGAGGAACCUGUCCUUUAAUUGAUGAUCCACGAUUUGUUCUACUUUCUUUUUUAGUUUGUAUAUCGUCGUGUUUGAAUAUUUUAUAAGAAUUUUAAUGUUCAAUUGGUUUAAUUAUAACUUAUGUCAGAUCAAGGUGCAGCUUAUAUGAGAGAAGGAGAUGGGUUACAAUAAAUUUAUUUUUGGUUUAUUUUUUUAAAUUUUUAUAAUAAAUUGGAUUUGAUAGUAAUGUUGUUUAUAUAUUCAAUGUGAUUGUGGCUCUGAAAUAUGUACAUAUUGCCCGUCGCUCUCGUUAAGGUGAGAUAAGUCGUAACAUAGUAGAUGUACUGGAAAGUGUACCUAGAAAGAU